GGCCUGGUAGUUCAGCUGGUUAGAACGCCGCCCUGUCACGGCGGAGGUCGUGGGUUCGAGUCCCAUCCAGGUCGCCA
RNAcentral lists this transfer RNA (77 nucleotides) under Campylobacter sp. RNAcentral describes it as "tRNA-Asp". It matches the Rfam family "tRNA". Rfam says of the family: Transfer RNA (tRNA) molecules are approximately 80 nucleotides in length. Their secondary structure includes four short double-helical elements and three loops (D, anti-codon, and T loops). The record is from RNAcentral. Lineage: Bacteria; Pseudomonadati; Campylobacterota; Epsilonproteobacteria; Campylobacterales; Campylobacteraceae. RNAcentral also lists the same sequence under 4 other names.